GUGCUCGCUUUGGCAGCACACAUACUAAAAUCGGAACGAUACAGACAUUAGCAUGGCCCCUGCCCAAGGAUGACAUACAAAUUCGUGACAUGUUCUAUAUUUUA
Small nuclear RNA from Lemur catta (Ring-tailed lemur), 104 nucleotides. Lineage: Eukaryota; Metazoa; Chordata; Mammalia; Primates; Lemuridae. The record is from RefSeq and is a predicted model, not a curated record.